Molecule: long non-coding RNA, 553 nt
Filed under: Oncorhynchus kisutch (coho salmon)
Lineage: Eukaryota; Metazoa; Chordata; Actinopteri; Salmoniformes; Salmonidae
Description: lncRNA (ENSOKIG00005037878.1)
Source: RNAcentral
GUGUUACUCUUCACCCUGAUUGGACGAUGCGUGGGGUUCAGAAAAAUCUAAUUUAUUGAGGUAAGGUUAGCUGCAGGAUCGCAAAACUACAGUGACUGAGGCUCUGAAUCGAAGCAGAGAUGCAAGUAUAUUUAGGCUGUACUUUUCCCAAAAUAUAAUUUCUCACUUACAGACAUUCUAUGCAAUGCGCCUGACGUGAUAAUUAAACGUGCCAACGAUGGUUAUUGUAGCCCACCUGACCCAUCUACAACGAAUUCAUGCCAGGAAAAUAAGGUCACAUUUUUCCGGUUUGGUUCAGCUUGAGUUUUGGUUUAGGCUAUAUCCCAAUGAGGUCAAGGCAAUGACCUCCACUGGCCAGCCGGAGACAACAGUUGGAGACAAGCCGCAGGCGAGAGUUUUAGCAUGCCCGGAGGUUCCUCCUCUCGUGCUGCCUCACUAUACUGACAAAGGGUCAGCCUUCGACCCUCCCCAUUGCUCCUACCACAGCCUGGGCCACUGUCUGCGCACCAACAUCUUUCCAGGAGCUCCUCCGGUGUGGAAGUCCCUGAUAUAA